UACGUAGGGUGCGAGCGUUAAUCGGAAUUACUGGGCGUAAAGCGAGCGCAGACGGUUAUUUAAGCAGGAUGUGAAAUCCCCGGGCUUAACCUGGGAACUGCGUUCUGAACUGGAUGGCUAGAGUAUGUCAGAGGGGGGUAGAAUUCCACGUGUAGCAGUGAAAUGCGUAGAGAUGUGGAGGAAUACCGAUGGCGAAGGCAGCCCCCUGGGAUAAUACUGACGUUCAUGCUCGAAAGCGUGGGUAGCAAACAGG
Molecule: ribosomal RNA, 253 nt
Filed under: uncultured bacterium
Lineage: Bacteria
Description: partial 16S ribosomal RNA
Rfam family: Bacterial small subunit ribosomal RNA
Source: RNAcentral